This 373-nucleotide ribosomal RNA is filed under the name uncultured organism. Its description in RNAcentral is "partial 16S ribosomal RNA". It matches the Rfam family "Bacterial small subunit ribosomal RNA", at positions 527 to 896 of the family's 1533-position model. The record is from RNAcentral.
GUAGGUGGCAAGCGUUAUCCGGAAUUAUUGGGCGUAAAGCGCGCGCAGGCGGUUUCUUAAGUCUGAUGUGAAAGCCCUCGGCUCAACCGUGGAGGGUCAUUGGAAACUGGGGAACUUGAGUGCAGAAGAGAAAAGCGGAAUUCCACGUGUAGCGGUGAAAUGCGUAGAGAUGUGGAGGAACACCAGUGGCGAAGGCGGCUUUUUUGGUCUGUAACUGACGCUGAGGCGCGAAAGCGUGGGGAGCAAACAGGGAUUAGAUACCCUGGUAGUCCACGCCGUAAACGAUGAGUGCUAAGUGUUAGAGGGUUUCCGCCCCUUUAGUGCUGCAGCUAACGCAUUAAGCACUCCGCCUGGGGAUACGGUCGCAAGACUG